UUGCUUUAGCAGCACAUAUACUAAAACUGGAAUGAUACAGAUAAGAUUAGCAUAAGUUCCUGUGUAAGGAUGACAUGCAAAUAAAUGAAGCAUUCCAAAUUUUU
Homo sapiens (human) is the source of this 104-nucleotide small nuclear RNA. The record is from Ensembl. NCBI's taxonomy places the organism in Eukaryota, Metazoa, Chordata, Mammalia, Primates, Hominidae.